AUUGAACGCUGGCGGCAUGCCUAACACAUGCAAGUCGAGCGGAUGAAGGGAGCUUGCUCCUGGAUUCAGCGGCGGACGGGUGAGUAAUGCCUAGGAAUCUGCCUGGUAGUGGGGGAUAACGUCCGGAAACGGGCGCUAAUACCGCAUACGUCCUGAGGGAGAAAGUGGGGGAUCUUCGGACCUCACGCUAUUAGAUGAGCCUAGGUCGGAUUAGCUAGUUGGUGGGGUAAAGGCCUACCAAGGCGACGAUCCGUAACUGGUCUGAGAGGAUGAUCAGUCACACUGGAACUGAGACACGGUCCAGACUCCUACGGGAGGCAGCAGUGGGGAAUAUUUGACAAUGGGCGAAAGCCUGAUCCAGCCAUGCCGCGUGUGUGAAGAAGGUCUUCGGAUUGUAAAGCACUUUAAGUUGGGAGGAAGGGCAGUAAGUUAAUACCUUGCUGUUUUGACGUUACCAACAGAAUAAGCACCGGCUAACUUCGUG
This 484-nucleotide ribosomal RNA is filed under the name uncultured bacterium. RNAcentral describes it as "partial 16S ribosomal RNA". It matches the Rfam family "Bacterial small subunit ribosomal RNA", at positions 30 to 507 of the family's 1533-position model. The record is from RNAcentral.